CUCUUAUCAGGCACCUUUGGGCCGGAGACCCAGCUCUCCCUGCGAGUGCUCGGGCUGCAUCCACCCGCAGGGGCCGUCCUCUGCUGCCCUUCCUCUCCGGCAGCGCUUGGCCGCAGGGCACGGACGGUUGCUCAACCCGGAAAGGGCGCCCUGCUCCCCCCCGCCCCAGCAGGACGCUCCUCCCGCAGUCAGGGACUCCGUCCACACCUCCACAAGAGCAUCCUUUACUCAAAACACAAGGCAACGUCGGAGCCGGGAGCAGGGGCCAGGUCACGCCUGCCCCUUGCCUUGUUCCAGCACAAAGUCGGGCCCCGGAAGGCAGCUUUGCCCGACUGCGGUGCAGAGGCCCUUGGCUGCCUCCAGCCAGGAGCAACCCCCCCCAGGGGUGCGGGGCCGCGACCGCCACCGCACGCUCCCCUGCCUUUGCCCAGGGAGGCAGAGGCCAGCCCCAGGCCCGGUGCUCAGCAGCAGCUCACGCGUACCCAGCCCCAGAGCAUCGCCCUGGUGCGCGCGUGUUUUUGGGGCAUCCAGCAGCACACGGCCCCCGGCCCCGAACACCGGCAGCAACACCCCACCUCCACUGCACCUCCAGCACAGGAGCAGCUCCACGCUGAGCRCAAAAAAUCCCUUUCCAAACAGCUCCCUUCUCCACCGGGGCGAGGGCUGCUGCUCUCCCGCUGGCUCUGCCAUGGCGCGCGUCCCCCGCCACAGCGUGGGGACGCGCUCAGAUCUGCGUGGUGUCCUGGCCCRCCGGCGCCGGCUCCAGCCCCUCCAGCUGGUCGAGGACAUCAGUUAUGUGGGGCCGCUCCUGGGGGUUCACAGUCAGCAUGGAGGAGAGCAGGCGGUGCAGGGCAGCCGAAUACCUGCCGGGAACAGGGCAGCGGGGUUCAGCGCRGCCCCGCGGGGGCUGCGGGGAGCGGGGCCGCCCGGCCCCUCACCUGGAGUCGGGGGGCACRGCGACGGGGUUCUGCACCGCCAGGGCCACGCUGUCGCCCUUCUGGAAGAUCAUGUCGAAGGGGCCCUCGCCGAACAUCAUGCAGUACAGCACGCAGCCUAGGGACUGAAGCGGCGCGGGGUGAGGGCCGCCCCUCGCCCGGCGGCCCCGGGGCGGCCCCGGCGCCCGAUGCUUACCCAGAUAUCGGUGCGCUCGUCUAUGACGCACUGGCUCUGCACCGUGAAGAGCUCGGGGGCCCG
This 1194-nucleotide long non-coding RNA is filed under the name Apteryx haastii (Great spotted kiwi). RNAcentral's name for it is "lncRNA (ENSAHAG00000010405.1)". Lineage: Eukaryota; Metazoa; Chordata; Aves; Apterygiformes; Apterygidae. The record is from RNAcentral.